UGGUGGGUAGUUUGACUGGGGCGGUCUCCUCCUAAAGAGUAACGGAGGAGCACGAAGGUUGGCUAAUCCUGGUCGGACAUCAGGAGGUUAGUGCAAUGGCAUAAGCCAGCUUGACUGCGAGCGUGACGGCGCGAGCAGGUGCGAAAGCAGGUCAUAGUGAUCCGGUGGUUCUGAAUGGAAGGGCCAUCGCUCAACGGAUAAAAGGUACUCCGGGGAUAACAGGCUGAUACCGCCCAAGAGUUCAUAUCGACGGCGGUGUUUGGCACCUCGAUGUCGGCUCAUCACAUCCUGGGGCUGAAGUAGGUCCCAAGGGUAUGGCUGUUCGCCAUUUAAAGUGGUACGCGAGCUGGGUUUAGAACGUCGUGAGACAGUUCGGUCCCUAUCUGCCGUGGGCGCUGGAGAACUGAGGGGGGCUGCUCCUAGUACGAGAGGACCGGAGUGGACGCAUCACUGGUGUUCGGGUUGUCAUGCCAA
Molecule: ribosomal RNA, 474 nt
Filed under: Escherichia coli
Lineage: Bacteria; Pseudomonadati; Pseudomonadota; Gammaproteobacteria; Enterobacterales; Enterobacteriaceae
Also listed under: 2 other names
Description: partial 23S ribosomal RNA
Rfam family: Bacterial large subunit ribosomal RNA
Source: RNAcentral